AGCGAACGCUGGCGGCAGGCCUAACACAUGCAAGUCGAACGAACCUUUCGGGGUUAGUGGCGGACGGGUGAGUAACACGUGGGAACGUGCCUUUAGGUUCGGAAUAACUCAGGGAAACUUGUGCUAAUACCGAAUGUGCCCUUCGGGGGAAAGAUUUAUCGCCUUUAGAGCGGCCCGCGUCUGAUUAGCUAGUUGGUUGAGGUAAUGGCUCACCAAGGCGACGAUCAGUAGCUGGUCUGAGAGGAUGAUCAGCCACAUUGGGACUGAGACACGGCCCAAACUCCUACGGGAGGCAGCAGUGGGGAAUCUUGCGCAAUGGGCGAAAGCCUGACGCAGCCAUGCCGCGUGAAUGAUGAAGGCCUUAGGAUUGUAAAAUUCUUUCACCGGGGACGAUAAUGACGGUACCCGGAGAAGAAGCCCCGGCUAACUUCGUG
This 434-nucleotide ribosomal RNA is filed under the name uncultured bacterium. RNAcentral's name for it is "partial 16S ribosomal RNA". It matches the Rfam family "Bacterial small subunit ribosomal RNA", at positions 29 to 507 of the family's 1533-position model. The record is from RNAcentral.